Molecule: long non-coding RNA, 1257 nt
Organism: Loxodonta africana (African savanna elephant)
Lineage: Eukaryota; Metazoa; Chordata; Mammalia; Proboscidea; Elephantidae
Exons: 4
Source: RefSeq, a predicted model, not a curated record
GCAGGGAAAUGGGAUGGAGUGAAAUAUAUGAAUAAAAUAAAUGCAUUGGUUAAUGUCCUAUUUUCAGUUUUGAGUAACUAACAAAUCGACUAAAUGAAUAAACGAGCAAUAGCGUCCUAUUCUUGGAGCAGUGUUGAAAAUGUCUCAUGAGAGAAGGAUUAUGAGUCAUCCUAUACUGGUCACCCAAGGUGUAAAGGUCAUAAAGAAACAACUUUAUUAUAAAGGGUUAAAAAAAAAAAGGAAAGGACAGGAAUUUGGGAAAAAUUUGAUUUUAGAUUACCAUAUGCAAGAUAAUAGGAAUAUUAGGGGAAAAAUUUAAUGAUACAGGAGAGAAAUGAACUUGUUGGAGACCAUGAUUAAUAAGGGUGGAAUAGGAGGAAAUUGGGACCCCUUCCCCAUCACACCCUUAUUCAUGGGAUAAUGGGAGUUUCCAUUAGUAGUAUAGGGACUUUCAGCCUUGUUCAGUGGGGAGAGAACUUUUCUUGUGAAAAAGUUGUCUGAAUACCUUUGCUUUUGUAGAAGGAGGUGCAAGAAUGUAAGGGAAUUUAUGUGUAAUGUUUAGUAUUUCCAUGCAAAGUAAAGAAGAGGCCAUUUUCUGAGAGGGAGGGUUGAGAUGUAGUAGAUAAUUUAUAAAAAGAUUAAAUACUCAUUUUCUCUGAUUAUACUCCAUUUAAUUAACAUAAUUCCUUUUUAUAUGCAAAAUUAUAAUAAAUGAUCAUAAUAAGGGACCUUCAUUAAAAUAUUCAUGAUCUUCAUUUUAUAACAUGAAGUUUUUCAGAGGGCUUCUGAAUGCAAAAUACAGAAUAUGGAAGACUCGAAAGAAAAAAAUACCUCGUGCACAAAAGAAGUUGAAGAUCACUCAAUUGUACCACCUAGUACAGAAAUAGCCUGUGGCCAAUGUCAAGAAAAAUGGUCCUGUUAUGGAGAAAACUGUUACUAUUUUUCAAAAGAAGAGAAAACUUGGAACAACAAUAAGAAGUCAUGCCAAGAUCUGGAUUCUAGUCUCGUUAAGAUUGAUGACAAAGAUGAGCAGAAAUUUAUUCAACCACAGAUCAAUUACAAUCACGGGGUUGGAUUACAGAAAAAAAGGAGCUAGUCACACCUGGAAAUGGCUGAAUGAUAACGCAGAACUUUCCAAAAACCUGGAUUUCCAGCAGAUGCCUGAUAAGCCUGAUACAAAUUGUGGAUACCUCAAGCCAACAACUAUUAUGAAUGAUGUUUGUACUAAAGCUUUUUAUUACAUUUGUGAAAGGAAGC